Molecule: long non-coding RNA, 671 nt
Filed under: Chinchilla lanigera (long-tailed chinchilla)
Lineage: Eukaryota; Metazoa; Chordata; Mammalia; Rodentia; Chinchillidae
Description: lncRNA (ENSCLAG00000027133.1)
Source: RNAcentral
GUCUGCUCCAAAUCUGUACAUUGAAUCUGCCUGGCCAGUGGGUUCCGCCCCUGAGCCCUGAGGACAGGAAGGGAGACCGGCAGGCACAGCCGGUAAAUCACUGCUGGGCUGAGCUGCCGGGGAGGGGACGGUGGCCGCAGCGGGCUUGGUGCUCGGGGCAGAUGAAGGCCAGGCCUGGCUCCACACGCUCACUGCUCGGCCCUGGGCUCGCGUCCUGCUGGCCCCGUGUGGUGACAGACGCCCCCUUCCUGUGCGGCUGGCCUGCCAGAGGCGCUGGUUUGGACGGAUUUAGAGUCCAGAGGACAAGCAUGGUCCCCGUGGUCGUCCUGCGUCUGCCCCCUGACCAGGUACCUGGUGAGGUUCCCAACUUCGGCGCAUUACGUCUGUGUUCCUGGCUGAUUCCAUGACUGCGUGGACAACGGCAAGAGGACCGUGAGAACACCGGUCUGAUUUUUGAGAACAGAAUGGAGAAAAGAAAGAGACGCUGUCCACCUUGGACGUCCUCCUCUUCACCUCCCCAGCGUGGCCAGCCUGGCACCUGAAGCACCGGCCCAUUUUCCUCUGAUCUAAUUGAAAAAAGUGAGUCGUCAGCUGAAUCAUCUUUACUCAUUUUUAUCCUUGUGGCUACUUGUAAAAUUUUUCCUUAUUAAAUUUCUUUUGUCGGACAGAAU